GAUGAACGCUGGCGGCGUGCUUAACACAUGCAAGUCGAACGAUGAAGCCCAGCUUGCUGGGUGGAUUAGUGGCGAACGGGUGAGUAACACGUGAGUAACCUGCCCUUAACUCUGGGAUAAGCCUGGGAAACUGGGUCUAAUACCGGAUAGGAGCGCCUACCGCAUGGUGGGUGUUGGAAAGAUUUAUCGGUUUUGGAUGGACUCGCGGCCUAUCAGCUUGUUGGUGAGGUAAUGGCUCACCAAGGCGACGACGGGUAGCCGGCCUGAGAGGGUGACCGGCCACACUGGGACUGAGACACGGCACAGACUCCUACGGGAGGCAGCAGUGGGGAAUAUUGCACAAUGGGAGAAAGCCUGAUGCAGCGACGCCGCGUGGGGGAUGACGGCAUUCGGGUUGUAAACCACUUUCAGUAGGGAAGAAGCGAAAGUGACGGUACCUGCAGAAGAAGCACCGGCUAACUACGUG
RNAcentral lists this ribosomal RNA (466 nucleotides) under uncultured bacterium. Its description in RNAcentral is "partial 16S ribosomal RNA". It matches the Rfam family "Bacterial small subunit ribosomal RNA", at positions 28 to 507 of the family's 1533-position model. The record is from RNAcentral.